AACGAACGCUGGCGGCAUGCCUAACACAUGCAAGUCGAACGAGACCUUCGGGUCUAGUGGCGCACGGGUGCGUAACGCGUGGGAACCUGCCCUUAGGUUCGGAAUAACUCCCCGAAAGGGGUGCUAAUACCGGAUAAUGUCUUCGGACCAAAGAUUUAUCGCCUUUGGAUGGGCCCGCGUUGGAUUAGCUAGUUGGUAGGGUAAAAGCCUACCAAGGCGACGAUCCAUAGCUGGUCUGAGAGGAUGAUCAGCCACACUGGGACUGAGACACGGCCCAGACUCCUACGGGAGCCAGCAGUGGGGAAUAUUGGACAAUGGGCGAAAGCCUGAUCCAGCAAUGCCGCGUGAGUGAUGAAGGCCUUAGGGUUGUAAAGCUCUUUUACCCGGGAUGAUAAUGACAGUACCGGGAGAAUAAGCUCCGGCUAACUCCGUG
RNAcentral lists this ribosomal RNA (433 nucleotides) under uncultured bacterium. RNAcentral describes it as "partial 16S ribosomal RNA". It matches the Rfam family "Bacterial small subunit ribosomal RNA", at positions 29 to 507 of the family's 1533-position model. The record is from RNAcentral.